GAUGAACGCUGACAGAAUGCUUAACACAUCAGCAAUUGAUUGGUGGCGGACGGGUGAGUAACGCGUAAAGAACUUGCCUCACAGGUAGGGACAACAUUUGGAAACGAAUGCUAAUACCUAAUCCUGUGAGAGAGCUUUGCGUCCCAUUAGCUAGUUGGAGAGGUAACGGCUCACCAAGGCGAGGAUGGGUAGCCGGCCUGAGAGGGUGAUCGGCCACAAGGGCACUGGGGCACUGCCCUUACUCCUUCUGGAGGCAGCAGCGGGGAAUAGUGGACAAUGGACCAAAGUCUGAUGCAGCAAUUCUGGGUGCACGAUGAAGCUUUCGGAAUGUAAAGUGUGUUCAGUUGAGAAGCGGUACCAACAGAAGAAGUGACGGCUAAAUACGUGCCAGCAGCCGCGGUAAUUC
Molecule: ribosomal RNA, 406 nt
Filed under: uncultured bacterium
Lineage: Bacteria
Description: partial 16S ribosomal RNA
Rfam family: Bacterial small subunit ribosomal RNA
Source: RNAcentral